This 303-nucleotide ribosomal RNA is filed under the name uncultured bacterium. Its description in RNAcentral is "partial 16S ribosomal RNA". It matches the Rfam family "Bacterial small subunit ribosomal RNA", at positions 507 to 807 of the family's 1533-position model. The record is from RNAcentral.
AGCAGUCGCCGCGGGAAUACGGAGGGUGCAAGCGUUAAUCGGAAUUACUGGGCGUAAAGCGCACGCAGGCGGUCUGACAAGUCAGAUGUGAAAUCCCCGGGCUUAACCUGGGAACUGCAUUUGAAACUGUCAGGCUGGAGUCUUGUAGAGGGGGGUGGAAUUCCAGGUGUAGCGGUGAAAUGCGUAGAGAUCUGGAGGAAUACCGGUGGCGAAGGCGGCCCCCUGGACAAAGACUGACGCUCAGGUGCGAAAGCGUGGGGAGCAAACAGGAUUAGAUACCCGUGUAGUCCCUGUCUCUUAUAC